Molecule: ribosomal RNA, 433 nt
Filed under: uncultured bacterium
Lineage: Bacteria
Description: partial 16S ribosomal RNA
Rfam family: Bacterial small subunit ribosomal RNA
Source: RNAcentral
AACGAACGCUGGCGGCAGGCCUAACACACGCAAGUCGAGCGCGCCCUUCGGGGUGAGCGGCGGACGGGUGAGUAACGCGUGGGAACGUGCCCUUCUCUGCGGAAUAGCCUCGGGAAACUGAGAGUAAUACCGCAUACGCCCUUUGGGGGAAAGAUUUAUCGGAGAAGGAUCGGCCCGCGUUGGAUUAGGUAGUUGGUGGGGUAAUGGCCCACCAAGCCGACGAUCCAUAGCUGGUUUGAGAGGAUGAUCAGCCACACUGGGACUGAGACACGGCCCAGCCUCCUACGGGAGGCAGCAGUGGGGAAUCUUAGACAAUGGGGGCAACCCUGAUCUAGCCAUGCCGCGUGAGUGAUGAAGGCCUUAGGGUUGUAAAGCUCUUUCAGCUGGGAAGAUAAUGACGGUACCAGCAGAAGAAGCCCCGGCUAACUCCGUG